This 31-nucleotide non-coding RNA is filed under the name Rattus norvegicus (Norway rat). Lineage: Eukaryota; Metazoa; Chordata; Mammalia; Rodentia; Muridae. The record is from RNAcentral.
UCCCCUGACUCCCAGACUUCUGGUUUCCUGC